RNAcentral lists this ribosomal RNA (459 nucleotides) under uncultured bacterium. RNAcentral's name for it is "partial 16S ribosomal RNA". It matches the Rfam family "Bacterial small subunit ribosomal RNA", at positions 338 to 795 of the family's 1533-position model. The record is from RNAcentral.
CCUACGGGGGUCUGCAGUGAGGAAUAUUGGUCAAUGGUCGGGAGACUGAACCAGCCAAGCCGCGUGAGGGAUGAAGGUACAGAGUAUCGUAAACCUCUUUUGUCAGGGAACAAAGGCGGGGACGUGUCCCCGGAUGAGUGUACCUGAAGAAAAAGCAUCGGCUAACUCCGUGCCAGCCGCCGCGGUAAUACGGAGGUUGCGAGCGUUAUCCGGAUUUAGUGGGGUUAAAGGGUGCGCAGGCGGUCUGUUAAGUCAGCGGUCAAAGCCCGGGGCUCAACCCCGGCCCGCCGUUGAAACUGGCAGUCUCGAGUUGGAGAGAAGUAUGCGGAAUGCGCGGUGUAGCGGUGAAAUGCAUAGAGAGCGCGCAGAACUCCGAUUGCGAAGGCAGCAUGCCGGCUCCACACUGACGCUGAGGCACGAAAGCGUGGGUAUCGAACAGGAUUAGAUACCCUUGUAGUC